GACGAGCUCUCCAAACGUUAUUCGGUAUUACUGGGCUUAAAGAGUUCGUAGGCGGUCUAGAAGGUGAGAUGUGAAAGCCCUCGGCUCAACCGAGGAACUGCGUUUCAAACCGCUAGGCUUGAGGGAGGUAGGGGUAUGCGGAACAGAUGGUGGAGCGGUGAAAUGCGUUGAUAUCAUCUGGAACACCGGUGGCGAAAGCGGCAUACUGGACCUUUUCUGACGCUGAGGAACGAAAGCUAGGGUAGCGAACGGG
Molecule: ribosomal RNA, 253 nt
Filed under: uncultured bacterium
Lineage: Bacteria
Description: partial 16S ribosomal RNA
Rfam family: Bacterial small subunit ribosomal RNA
Source: RNAcentral